This 690-nucleotide ribosomal RNA is filed under the name Triticum aestivum (bread wheat). Its description in RNAcentral is "partial small subunit ribosomal RNA". Lineage: Eukaryota; Viridiplantae; Streptophyta; Magnoliopsida; Poales; Poaceae. The record is from RNAcentral.
AUGAAAAUCAUCGGUUGGAACUGCCGGGGGCUCGGGAAUGGCCCGGCAGUUCGUAGUCUCCUUGAAAUGGGGAGAAUGGAGGAGCCCGACGUACUGUUCUUGGCGGAGACAAAACUAACAGAGAAAGAAAUGGAGAGGUUCAGGUGGAUGAUGGGUUUGACACACAUGGUUGCUUGGAACCCAGAAGGGAGGAGCCGUGGGAUUGCAUUGUUCUGGCGUAGGGGAGUGGGAGUUUCGUUGCGAUCUUAUGGACGGAGACAUAUAGAUGUGGAUGUAACAGAUGAUGAAGGGAAAGUCUGGAGGUUGACGGGUAUUUAUGGGGAAUCCGAAUCGGGGCGUAAGAAGGAAACCUGGAGGACUUUGAGAAUACUAGGACAGCAGCAUCAGAACGGACGACCGUGGUUGUGUCUUGGUGAUUUUAAUGAAAUCUUAUCAAGUGAUGAGAAGGUUGGAGGAGGGACUCGGCCGCAACAACUCAUGAACAACUUUAGAGAAGCCUUGGAGGCAUGUGAUCUGUGUGACAUUGGCUUCAGGGGGGAUAAAUUCACCUGGAGGAAUCAUAGUAAAGAGCUACGAAACUACAUUUGCGAGCGGUUGGAUCGGGCCAUUGCUACUGCGAAAUGGUGUGAGGCGUUUCCCGCUUUCACUGUCACAAAUGGUGAUCCUCGCCAUUCGGACCACCGCCAGUAA